Molecule: ribosomal RNA, 477 nt
Filed under: uncultured bacterium
Lineage: Bacteria
Description: SSU rRNA
Rfam family: Bacterial small subunit ribosomal RNA
Source: RNAcentral
AGAGCGAACGCUGGCGGCGUGCUUAACACAUGCAAGUCGAACGUCCUGUCUCGCAAGAGGCAGGGAGUGGCGGACGGGUGAGUACCACGUGGGUUAUCUACCGUGAGGUGAGGAAUACCGGCGAGAAAUCGCCGACAAAACCGCAUAGGCUCGAUGCAAGUCGAGCAAAGCUUUCUCGCAAGAGGGAGCGCCACACGAGGAGCCUGCGCCCGAUUAGCUGGCUGGUGGAGUAAUGGUUCACCAGGGCGACGAUCGGUAGCUGGUCUGAGAGGACGAUCAGCCACACUGGGAUUGAGAACGGCCCAGACUCCUACGGGGGGCAGCAGUGAGGAAUUUUCGUCAAUGGGGCAACCCUGAACGAGCAACGCCGCGUGCAGGAAGAAGGUUUUCGGAUCGUAAACUGCUUUUCUCGGGGAAGAGAACGGACGGUACCCGAGGAAGAAGCCCCGGCUAACUACGUGCCAGCAGCCGCGGUAA